Molecule: transfer RNA, 85 nt
Filed under: Felis catus (domestic cat)
Lineage: Eukaryota; Metazoa; Chordata; Mammalia; Carnivora; Felidae
Rfam family: tRNA
About the family: Transfer RNA (tRNA) molecules are approximately 80 nucleotides in length. Their secondary structure includes four short double-helical elements and three loops (D, anti-codon, and T loops).
Source: Rfam by way of RNAcentral
GCCUGGGUGGCUCAGUUGGUUGAGCACCUGACUUCGACUCAGGUAAUGAUCUCACGGUCCAGGAGUUCAAGCCCCACAUCAGGCU